This 496-nucleotide ribosomal RNA is filed under the name uncultured bacterium. RNAcentral's name for it is "partial 16S ribosomal RNA". It matches the Rfam family "Bacterial small subunit ribosomal RNA", at positions 28 to 506 of the family's 1533-position model. The record is from RNAcentral.
GAUGAACGCUGGCGGCGUGCCUAAUACAUGCAAGUCGAGCGAACGGACGAGAAGCUUGCUUUUCUGAUGUUAGCGGCGGACGGGUGAGUAACACGUGGAUAACCUACCUAUAAGACUGGGAUAACUUCGGGAAACCGGAGCUAAUACCGGAUAAUAUUUUGAACCGCAUGGUUCAAAAGUGAAAGACGGUCUUGCUGUCACUUAUAGAUGGAUCCGCGCUGCAUUAGCUAGUUGGUAAGGUAACGGCUUACCAAGGCAACGAUGCAUAGCCGACCUGAGAGGGAGAGCGGCCACGGUGGAACUGAGACACGGUCCAGACACCUACGGGAGGCAGCAGUGGCGAAUCUGCCGCAAUGGGCGAAAGCCUGACGGAGCAACGCCGCGUGAGUGAGGAAGGUCUUCGGAUCGUAAAACUCUGUUAUUAGGGAAAAACAUAUGUGUAAGUAACUGUGCACAUCUAGACGGUACCUAAUCAGAAAGCAACGGCUAACUACGU